CCUACGGGCGGCAGCAGUGAGGAAUAUUGGUCAAUGGACGCAAGUCUGAACCAGCCAUGCCGCGUGCAGGAAGACGGCUCUAUGAGUUGUAAACUGCUUUUGUACGAGGGUAAACGCAGAUACGCGUAUCUGUCUGAUAGUAUCGUACGAAUAAGGAUCGGCUAACUCCGUGCCAGCAGCCGCGGUAAUACGGAGGAUUCAAGCGUUAUCCGGAUUGAUUGGGUGUAAGGGGUGCGUAGGCGGUCGGACAAGUUAGAGGUGAAAGCCCCGGGCUCAACCUCGGAAUUGCCUGUGAUACUGUGUGGCUAGAGAGUAGGAGCGGCAGGCGGAAUUUAUGGUGUAGCGGUGAAAUGCGUAGAGAUCA
Molecule: ribosomal RNA, 364 nt
Filed under: uncultured bacterium
Lineage: Bacteria
Description: partial 16S ribosomal RNA
Rfam family: Bacterial small subunit ribosomal RNA
Source: RNAcentral